CCUACGGGAGGCAGCAGUGAGGAAUAUUGGUCAAUGGACGAGAGUCUGAACCAGCCAAGUAGCGUGAAGGAUGACUGCCCUAUGGGUUGUAAACUUCUUUUAUAUGGGAAUAAAAUGUUCCACGUGUGGGAUUUUGUAUGUACCAUAUGAAUAAGGAUCGGCUAACUCCGUGCCAGCAGCCGCGGUAAUACGGAGGAUCCGAGCGUUAUCCGGAUUUAUUGGGUUUAAAGGGAGCGUAGGUGGAUUGUUAAGUCAGUUGUGAAAGUUUGCGGCGCAACCGUAAAAUUGCAGUUGAAACUGGCAGUCGUGAGUACAGUAGAGGUGGGCGGAAUUCGUGGUGUAGCGGUGAAAUGCUUAGAUAUCACGAAGAACUCCGAUUGCGAAGGCAGCUCACUGGACUGCAACUGACACUGAGGCUCGAAAGUGUGGGUAUCAAACAGGAUUAGAUACCCCAGUAGUC
This 460-nucleotide ribosomal RNA is filed under the name uncultured bacterium. Its description in RNAcentral is "partial 16S ribosomal RNA". It matches the Rfam family "Bacterial small subunit ribosomal RNA", at positions 338 to 795 of the family's 1533-position model. The record is from RNAcentral.